UACGAAGGGGGCGAGCGUUGUUCGGAUUUACUGGGCGUAAAGCGUGCGCAGGCGGUUUUGUAAGUUUGUCGUGAAAUCCCCGGGCUCAACCUGGGAAUGGCGAUGAAGACUGCAAGGCUAGAAUCUGGCAGAGGGGGGUAGAAUUCCACGUGUAGCAGUGAAAUGCGUAGAGAUGUGGAGGAACACCGAUGGCGAAGGCAGCCCCCUGGGUCAAGAUUGACGCUCAUGCACGAAAGGCGUGGGGAGCAAACGAGG
RNAcentral lists this ribosomal RNA (255 nucleotides) under uncultured bacterium. Its description in RNAcentral is "partial 16S ribosomal RNA". It matches the Rfam family "Bacterial small subunit ribosomal RNA", at positions 524 to 777 of the family's 1533-position model. The record is from RNAcentral.